Long non-coding RNA from Xiphophorus couchianus (Monterrey platyfish), 691 nucleotides. RefSeq lists it as uncharacterized. The record is from RefSeq and is a predicted model, not a curated record. Lineage: Eukaryota; Metazoa; Chordata; Actinopteri; Cyprinodontiformes; Poeciliidae. The transcript has 2 exons.
CUUCAGGUGAAACGAGUCUGUAGGUUCAGUCUGCUGCUGGGAAACCCGCUGCUGGAUCUGGCAGGACGUCCCAGUGCUCCCAGUGCUCCCAGUCUUUGUUGCUGCUCGGUGGUGUGAGAUAAUGUUCCCACAGAGGAGGGUCUGGCUCUCUUUCUGCUUUAGAGCUUCAGGAUCAGAUGGAGUGAAACUUUUAGAGCGAUUUGUUUCCUCGUCUGCAUCGGCUCCUUGUUCCAUCUUGUCUUUGUUUUCUCUGCUUCAUCUCCAGGCAGUGACUGAAGUAUUCAGCCAUCAGUACCAGCGCUCCACUGGUCCCAGUGUUACCAGUUACAGCAGCAUGUGGCUCUGAAAUGGGAACUAAAAGCAGCGUUGUGUUGUGUCAGGUUUUCCUCCUGUGGCUAUAAAUAGAGCAGAGAUCCUGUCUGGGUGUGAUGGGCGGCGAGGUGUUGAUGGACUCAGAGUUUGGAGCCUGAAGCUCAGUCAGACGAUGAAAACCUGAAGCUGCGAAGCUGAAAACCUGAAGGAUUUUCAGGCUCAUAUUCAUUUCUUCAGGAGGCUGAAUGUGAAUCUCCUGGAUCUCCAUCAAACUGAACCGUUUCCUUCUUGUCAGGCGAAUUUGAGGCACUGCUCAAAAAAUGACAAAUGCAAGCAACUGUUUCUAUGAAUAUUUAUUAAAACAAUGAAAUUAAAGCAG